UUGCGCCUACGGGGGGCAGCAGUGGGGAAUAUUGGGCAAUGGGCGCAAGCCUGACCCAGCAACGCCGCGUGAAGGAAGAAGGCCCUCGGGUUGUAAACUUCUUUUAUCAGGGACGAAACAAAUGACGGUACCUGAUGAAUAAGCCACGGCUAACUACGUGCCAGCAGCCGCGGUAAUACGUAGGUGGCAAGCGUUAUCCGGAUUUACUGGGUGUAAAGGGCGUGUAGGCGGGAGAGCAUGUCAGACGUGAAAUUCCAGGGCUCAACCCUGGAACUGCGUUUGAAACUGUUCUUCUUGAGUGAUGG
Molecule: ribosomal RNA, 305 nt
Filed under: uncultured bacterium
Lineage: Bacteria
Description: bacterial SSU rRNA
Rfam family: Bacterial small subunit ribosomal RNA
Source: RNAcentral